GAGUUUGAUCCUGGCUCAGAGCGAACGCUGGCGGCGUGCCUAACACAUGCAAGUCGAACGUGAACGGGGGCAACCCCUAGUAAAGUGGCGUACGGGUGAGUAACGCGUAGGUAAUCUACCCUAGAAUCUGGAAUAACCUGCCGAAAGGCGGGCUAAUACUGGAUAGAGCGAGGGAGGACGUAAUAGUCCUUUUCGGGAAAGGGAGGGAGCAAUCCCCCUUGUUCUAGGAUGAGCCUGCGUCUCAUUAGCUAGUUGGUAAGGUAAUGGCUUACCAAGGCUAUGAUGGGUAGCUGGUCUGAGAGGAUGAUCAGCCACACUGGAACUGAAACACGGUCCAGACUCCUACGGGAGGCAGCAGUGGGGAAUCUUGCGCAAUGGACGAAAGUCUGACGCAGCCACGCCGCUGUGAGUGAAGAAGGCCUUCGGGUUGUAAAGCUCUGUCGUGAGGGACGAAAAGCAUUUAGGUUAAUAGC
Molecule: ribosomal RNA, 473 nt
Filed under: uncultured bacterium
Lineage: Bacteria
Description: SSU rRNA
Rfam family: Bacterial small subunit ribosomal RNA
Source: RNAcentral